This 70-nucleotide transfer RNA is filed under the name Felis catus (domestic cat). It matches the Rfam family "tRNA". From Rfam's summary of the family: Transfer RNA (tRNA) molecules are approximately 80 nucleotides in length. RNAcentral also lists the same sequence under 3 other names. The record is from Rfam by way of RNAcentral. Lineage: Eukaryota; Metazoa; Chordata; Mammalia; Carnivora; Felidae.
GCCUGGGUGGCUCAGUCAGUCGAGCGUCUGACUUCGGCUCAGUCCGUGGGUUCAAGCCCCACGUCGGGCU